CGCCGCGUGAGGGAUGACGGCCUAUCGGGUCUGUAAACCUCUUUCAGCAGGGACGAAGCGUAAGUGACGGUACCUGCAGAAGAAGCACCGGCCAACUACGUGCCAGCAGCCGCGGUAAGACGUAGGGUGCGAGCGUUGUCCGGAUUUAUUGGGCGUAAAGAGCUCGUAGGCGGCUUGUCGCGUCGACCGUGAAAACUUGGGGCUCAACCCCAAGCCUGCGGUCGAUACGGGCAGGCUAGAGUUCGGUAGGGGAGACUGGAAUUCCUGGUGUAGCGGUGAAAUGCGCAGAUAUCAGGAGGAACACCGGUGGCGAAGGCGGGUCUCUGGGCCGAUACUGACGCUGAGGAGCGAAAGCGUGGGGAGCGAACAGGAUUAGAUACCCUGGUAGUCCACGCUGUAAACGUUGGGCGCUAGGUGUGGGGGGCCUCUCCGGUUCUCUGUGCCGCAGCUAACGCAUUAAGCGCCCCGCCUGGGGAGUACGGCCGCAAGGCUAAAACUCAAAGGAAUUGACGGGGGCCCGCACAAGCGGCGGAGCAUGCGGAUUAAUUCGAUGCAACGCGAAGAACCUUACCUGGGUUUGACAUGGCCGCAAAACUUGCAGAGAUGUAAGGUCCUUCG
This 618-nucleotide ribosomal RNA is filed under the name Micromonospora sp. Ri3Pt_4330. RNAcentral describes it as "bacterial SSU rRNA". It matches the Rfam family "Bacterial small subunit ribosomal RNA", at positions 395 to 1020 of the family's 1533-position model. The record is from RNAcentral. Lineage: Bacteria; Bacillati; Actinomycetota; Actinomycetes; Micromonosporales; Micromonosporaceae.